Molecule: transfer RNA, 83 nt
Filed under: Lentinula edodes (shiitake mushroom)
Lineage: Eukaryota; Fungi; Basidiomycota; Agaricomycetes; Agaricales; Omphalotaceae
Description: tRNA-Arg
Rfam family: tRNA
About the family: Transfer RNA (tRNA) molecules are approximately 80 nucleotides in length. Their secondary structure includes four short double-helical elements and three loops (D, anti-codon, and T loops). Further hydrogen bonds mediate the characteristic L-shaped molecular structure. tRNAs have two regions of fundamental functional importance: the anti-codon, which is responsible for specific mRNA codon recognition, and the 3' end, to which the tRNAs corresponding amino acid is attached (by aminoacyl-tRNA synthetases). tRNAs cope with the degeneracy of the genetic code in two manners: having more than one tRNA (with a specific anti-codon) for a particular amino acid; and 'wobble' base-pairing, i.e. permitting non-standard base-pairing at the 3rd anti-codon position.
Source: RNAcentral
GGCUACCUGGCGCAAUGGUAGCGCGUUUGGCUUCGAUUGCUGGACCUACCAAAAGGUUGCAGGUUCGAGUCCUGCGGUGGUCA